UACGUAGGGGGCGAGCGUUGUCCGGAUUUACUGGGCGUAAAGCGCGUGUAGGCGGCCCGUUAAGUUGGGUGUGAAAGCCCGGGGCUCAACCCCGGAAUUGCCUUUAAGACUGCAUCGCUUGAAUCCGGGAGAGGUGAGUGGAAUUCCGAGUGUAGAGGUGAAAUUCGUAGAUAUUCGGAAGAACACCAGUGGCGAAGGCGGCUCACUGGACCGGUAUUGACGCUGAGGUGCGAAAGCGUGGGGAGCAAACAGG
RNAcentral lists this ribosomal RNA (253 nucleotides) under uncultured bacterium. RNAcentral describes it as "partial 16S ribosomal RNA". It matches the Rfam family "Bacterial small subunit ribosomal RNA", at positions 524 to 776 of the family's 1533-position model. The record is from RNAcentral.